GACGAACGCUGGCGGCGUGCUUAACACAUGCAAGUCGAACGGAAAGGCCCUGCUUUUGUGGGGUGCUCGAGUGGCGAACGGGUGAGUAACACGUGAGUAACCUGCCCUUGACUUUGGGAUAACUUCAGGAAACUGGGGCUAAUACCGGAUAGGAGCUCCUGCUGCAUGGUGGGGGUUGGAAAGUUUCGGCGGUUGGGGGUGGACUCGCGGCUUAUCAGCUUGUUGGUGGGGUAGUGGCUUACCAAGGCUUUGACGGGUAGCCGGCCUGAGAGGGUGACCGGCCAAAAUGGGAAUGAGGUACCGGCCAGACUCCUACGGGAGGCAGCAGUGGGGAAUAUUGCACAAUGGGCGGAAGCCUGAUGCAGCAACGCCGCGUGCGGGAUGACGGCCUUCGGGUUGUAAACCGCUUUCGCCUGUGACGAAGCGUGAGUGACGGUAAUGGGUAAAGAAGCACCGGCUAACUACGUG
RNAcentral lists this ribosomal RNA (468 nucleotides) under uncultured bacterium. RNAcentral describes it as "partial 16S ribosomal RNA". It matches the Rfam family "Bacterial small subunit ribosomal RNA", at positions 28 to 507 of the family's 1533-position model. The record is from RNAcentral.